AGCGGCGGACGGGUGAGUAACACGUGGGUAACCUGCCCAAGAGACUGGGAUAACACCUGGAAACAGAUGCUAAUACCGGAUAACAACACCAGACGCAUGUCUAGAGUUUGAAAGAUGGUUCUGCUAUCACUCUUGGAUGGACCUGCGGCGCAUUAGCUAGUUGGUAAGGUAACGGCUUACCAAGGCAAUGAUGCAUAGCCGAGUUGAGAGACUGAUCGGCCACAUUGGGACUGAGACACGGCCCAAACUCCUACGGGAGGCAGCAGUAGGGAAUCUUCCACAAUGGACGAAAGUCUGAUGGAGCAACGCCGCGUGAGUGAAGAAGGGUUUCGGCUCGUAAAGCUCUGUUGGUAGUGAAGAAAGAUAGAGGUAGUAACUGGCCUUUAUUUGACGGUAAUUACUUAGAAAGUCACGGCUAACUACGUGCCAGCAGCCGCGGUAAUACGUAGGUGGCAAGCGUUGUCCGGAUUUAUUGGGCGUAAAGCGAGUGCAGGCGGUUCAAUAAGUCUGAUGUGAAAGCCUUCGGCUCAACCGGAGAAUUGCAUCAGAAACUGUUGAACUUGAGUGCAGAAGAGGAGAGUGGAACUCCAUGUGUAGCGGUGGAAUGCGUAGAUAUAUGGAAGAACACCAGUGGCGAAGGCGGCUCUCUGGUCUGCAACUGACGCUGAGGCUCGAAAGCAUGGGCAGCGAACAGGAUUAGAUACCCUGGUAGUCCAUGCCGUAAACGAUGAGUGCUAAGUGU
This 742-nucleotide ribosomal RNA is filed under the name uncultured bacterium. RNAcentral's name for it is "bacterial SSU rRNA". It matches the Rfam family "Bacterial small subunit ribosomal RNA", at positions 94 to 823 of the family's 1533-position model. The record is from RNAcentral.